RNAcentral lists this ribosomal RNA (465 nucleotides) under uncultured bacterium. RNAcentral describes it as "partial 16S ribosomal RNA". It matches the Rfam family "Bacterial small subunit ribosomal RNA", at positions 28 to 507 of the family's 1533-position model. The record is from RNAcentral.
GACGAACGCUGGCGGCGUGCUUAACACAUGCAAGUCGAACGGAAAGGCCCUGCUUGCAGGGUACUCGAGUGGCGAACGGGUGAGUAACACGUGGGUGAUCUGCCCUGCACUUCGGGAUAAGCCUGGGAAACUGGGUCUAAUACCGGAUAGGAGCCAUUUUUAGUGUGAUGGUUGGAAAGUUUUUUCAGUGUAGGAUGAGCUCGCGGCCUAUCAGCUUGUUGGUGGGGUAAUGGCCUACCAAGGCGGCGACGGGUAGCCGGCCUGAGAGGGUGGACGGCCACAUUGGGACUGAGAUACGGCCCAGACUCCUACGGGAGGCAGAAGUGGGGAAUAUUGCACAAUGGGCGCAAGCCUGAUGCAGCGACGCCGCGUGGGGGAUGACGGCCUUCGGGUUGUAAACUCCUUUCGCUAGGGACGAAGCUUUUUGUGGCGGUACCUAGAUAAGAAGCACCGGCUAACUACGUG